RNAcentral lists this ribosomal RNA (579 nucleotides) under uncultured bacterium. Its description in RNAcentral is "partial 16S ribosomal RNA". It matches the Rfam family "Bacterial small subunit ribosomal RNA", at positions 355 to 932 of the family's 1533-position model. The record is from RNAcentral.
UGGGGAAUUUUGGACAAUGGGCGAAAGCCUGAUCCAGCAAUGCCGCGUGUGUGAAGAAGGCCUUCGGGUUGUAAAGCACUUUUGUCCGGAAAGAAAUCCUUGGCUCUAAUACAGUCGGGGGAUGACGGUACCGGAAGAAUAAGCACCGGCUAACUACGUGCCAGCAGCCGCGGUAAUACGUAGGGUGCAAGCGUUAAUCGGAAUUACUGGGCGUAAAGCGUGCGCAGGCGGUUUGCUAAGACCGAUGUGAAAUCCCCGGGCUCAACCUGGGAACUGCAUUGGUGACUGGCAGGCUAGAGUAUGGCAGAGGGGGGUAGAAUUCCACGUGUAGCAGUGAAAUGCGUAGAGAUGUGGAGGAAUACCGAUGGCGAAGGCAGCCCCCUGGGCCAAUACUGACGCUCAUGCACGAAAGCGUGGGGAGCAAACAGGAUUAGAUACCCUGGUAGUCCACGCCCUAAACGAUGUCAACUAGUUGUUGGGGAUUCAUUUCCUUAGUAACGUAGCUAACGCGUGAAGUUGACCGCCUGGGGAGUACGGUCGCAAGAUUAAAACUUAAAUGAAUUGACGGGGUCAUAGCUG